RNAcentral lists this ribosomal RNA (503 nucleotides) under uncultured bacterium. Its description in RNAcentral is "bacterial SSU rRNA". It matches the Rfam family "Bacterial small subunit ribosomal RNA", at positions 43 to 518 of the family's 1533-position model. The record is from RNAcentral.
CGUGCCUAAUACAUGCAAGUCGAACGGUCUUUCUAUGGAAGCUUGCUUCCACUGAGAAGAUAGUGGCGAACGGGUGAGUAACACGUGGGUAACCUGCCCAUAAGAGGGGGAUAACAUCCGGAAACGGGUGCUAAUACCGCAUAGUUUUCUUGAUCGCAUGAUUGAGAAAGGAAAGACGGCCUUUGUGCUGUCGCUUAUGGAUGGACCCGCGGCGUAUUAGUUAGUUGGUGAGGUAACGGCUCACCAAGACGAUGAUACGUAGCCGACCUGAGAGGGUGAUCGGCCACAUUGGGACUGAGACACGGCCCAAACUCCUACGGGAGGCAGCAGUAGGGAAUCUUCCGCAAUGGACGAAAGUCUGACGGAGCAACGCCGCGUGAGUGAAGAAAAGGUUUUCGGAUCGUAAAACUCUGUUGUCAGAGAAGAACAAGUUGGAGAGUAACUGCUCCAGCCUUGACGGUAUCUGACCAGAAAGCCACGGCUAACUACGUGCCAGCCGCUGC